This is a long non-coding RNA of Cyprinus carpio (common carp), 1616 nucleotides long. RefSeq lists it as uncharacterized. NCBI's taxonomy places the organism in Eukaryota, Metazoa, Chordata, Actinopteri, Cypriniformes, Cyprinidae. The record is from RefSeq and is a predicted model, not a curated record.
AGAGGAGGGUGGGGGGUGGAAGAGAAUGCAGAAAAGUGGCAGUGGUCUUUUCACUGAGCGUUUGUGUCUGGAGUGUUCACUAGCUUCUACCACUCUCUCGCUCUUAUUGUUGCUUAGGGUGGAGGUUGAAACUGGAUUUAACUGACUCUUAAGAAAGAAAGUAAAGUGAAAUAGAGUAGCAGAGCAGAACGUGUGCUGUACAUGUUUUUCAGAUACCUCAUGUAUGAAUAUAAAGAAUGGUCACCACGCGGAACAAACGGAUGAAGUUGUGGAUGAAUCUGCAAGUUCAACAUGGAACUGAAUAUUUCGCACAUGGAGAUUUUUUGUGGGCAACGGAAUUGGCCUAGUCUGCACCCUAAGCCUGACUCCAUAUUGCCGCCAGGUGUAGGCUGACUCCGGUAUGGACAUCGAACCGGUCAACACCAUAGACAGAAGUCCUCCACCGUGCCUAGAAAUCAGCAAGCAAAAACAGCAAUGGGUUCUGAGUGGUUGUACAAUGCCAUGGAAACACAUUUGAAAUGUGAGACUGUGUACUGUAUGUAUGUUCAAGAUUUCGUUCCACCAACAACUUGUUUUCUUGCUGUCUGGCAGUUCUCAGAAAUAUAUCACACUGUGUCUCAGUGUAGAAAUAGGUCAAAUUAUAAUGUAAAUAUCUUUAACACUUACUCUAUUGUUCUGGAAUAACCUUUGAUUUCCGUUAGGGAGUGGCACUGUACCGUGAAUCAUGGCAUUUCUAAUUGCAACUUGUAGUGCAGACUGGGAAAGCCCUUUAUGCAGAGUUUGUGAUUUCUUAUUUCUGUGUAUUAAGUGGUAGUAAUGGGUAAACAACAAUUACAUUUGAUGUGCAGAAUAUAUAUUUAACUAAAACUAACUAAAACUGUUUAUUACUAAAAUUUCUAAUUUACUAUUUCUAUUCUCACACUCAAGUUGCAUGUACUGUACACUAUAUGUGUGUAGAUAUUUUAAAAUAUAAAUAAAGCAUUUCUGCUAUUGGUGCAUUCUCAAAUGUCAGUCACUGCAGUGUAUUUGAUCCAACAGCAGCAGUGUUGUCUGAUCUGGGCACAGCAAGCUCUACCUUUGCCUUUCAAACUGACCUUUGCUUUGAAGGUAUAAGUAUCUUAAAAUGCUAGUAAUUUGAAAUACAAGGAAUUUAUGGUGCUAAAUUUUGGUGGGAGCGCCCAUUUUAAUAAUUUCUCUAAUGAAUUAUUAAUCGAUAUACUCAAAAGUUAGUUCUCAUUGAACCACACCCAAUAAUUCUGCAUCAGAUCAUUUGAUUAAUUAUUCUGUAUGUUAGCAAUAUUCUUCCCUCAUUGGAGUAAAGUUGUUAAUUUUUUGGGAUGUAUAGUUGACCCCAUUAGUUCCACUCUCACUUACAUUUUACUUAUGUUGUACACUUGUUAUGCAAAUAAUCUAGGUCUCUGGAUUAUUUGCAUAGAUUUUUCUCAGUGUUCAGUUGCUGUACUAAUUGUGCUUUAUUUAUAUCUCUUCAAAAAGUACUUAACGUACAACCACAGGCAUCUGUAUCUGUCUUUUGUUUUAAACUGGUUUGCUAACCUGUUUUGAAAUUGGCACAUGAAAUAAAGGAAAAACACCAGUCAUAAGAAUUAGCAUUUCGU